CCCCAGAUUCGUUUUUUGACACACCAAAUCAAUUACGAAUUCAAUUGAUUUCUAAAUUCUUCUAUCUCCAUAUUCUGCUCGUAAAAAAAAUCUCUUAUACUUCCGUCGUUAUUCCGUUCAAGUACGAUCAUUCAUUGGUUCGACCGACAAGGUUGGUAUUGUGCAGUAUCGACUUUGGAAGGAGCGUUGUAUCUUGGGAGACAGACGUCCAUAAUCCC
RNAcentral lists this long non-coding RNA (218 nucleotides) under Olea europaea (common olive). RNAcentral describes it as "long non-coding RNA (OEUR_LNC005092)". The record is from RNAcentral. Lineage: Eukaryota; Viridiplantae; Streptophyta; Magnoliopsida; Lamiales; Oleaceae.